CCUACGGGGGGCUGUAGUGAGGAAUAUUGGUCAAUGGACGAGAGUCUGAACCAGCCAAGUAGCGUGAAGGAUGACUGCCCUAUGGGUUGUAAACUUCUUUUAUAUGGGAAUAAAAUGUUCCACGUGUGGGAUUUUGUAUGUACCAUAUGAAUAAGGAUCGGCUAACUCCGUGCCAGCAGCCGCGGUAAUACGGAGGAUCCGAGCGUUAUCCGGAUUUAUUGGGUUUAAAGGGUGCGUAGGCGGUCCGUUAAGUCAGCGGUAAAAUUGCGGGGCUCAACCCCGUCGAGCCGUUGAAACUGGCAGACUUGAGUUGGCGAGAAGUACGCGGAAUGCGCGGUGUAGCGGUGAAAUGCAUAGAUAUCUGGAGGAACAUCAGUGGCGAAGGCGACUAUCUGGCACAUAACUGACGCUGAGGAGCGAAAGCGUGGGUAGCAAACAGGAUUAGAUACCCCAGUAGUC
RNAcentral lists this ribosomal RNA (459 nucleotides) under uncultured bacterium. RNAcentral describes it as "partial 16S ribosomal RNA". It matches the Rfam family "Bacterial small subunit ribosomal RNA", at positions 338 to 795 of the family's 1533-position model. The record is from RNAcentral.